GAAAAAAGAAGGAAAACAGGGGCAAGCAAUAAAGAAGAAGCAAAUUAUAAUCAUGGCUUCUAUAGCUGAUCGGGAAGAAGAGACAAAUAAUUUUUCAUAUGCAAUGGAACUGGCAAGUGCCAUAGUGCUACCUGCAGCUAUGCAAGCAGUGGUAGAGCUUGAUGUGUUUGAGAUCAUAAGCAAAGCCGGUCCUGGUGCUAAGCUUUCGGUUUCGGAAAUUGUGGCUCAAAUUCCCUUAAAAGAUAAUAAUCCUGAAGCUGCAGCCAUGAUGUUAGAUCGGGUGCUGAGGCUUACGUUAUUGACUUAAUUAACGAAUAGACCCUAGUGAAUAGGAAUAUCAAUUAAUUACAAAUGAAAAAAAUUUGCUGAGGAGUCCGAAUUUGAUGUACAUGAUAGCGAAGUCCACAUAACUCAAUUAAUUGUUUAAGUAACUGGGAGUUUUAUAAUUGGGAUAACGUGUAGUUUGAUAUUGUAAGUUACAAUCGUAAAAUAUUUAAUAAAUUUUUGAUGUUGUAAUUUAAACGUUAAGUUGAAUUUAUCACAUACUUAUAUGUAAAAAAAAACCUAUAAUAUAUUUUUGUCUUUUUUGUUAAAAUUAUUUGUUACAUAUUUUUUACUUUUAUUUCAUUUAUAUAUGUGUGUGUGUGUCAAAACACCUCAAUCUGAAACAUGGUCUUAAUUAAUAAAACAUUGUCAUUUUAUUAAUUAAUAAAACACCUCAAUACCUAGCAAGUAGCAAGCCACACAUGAUUUUAUUUUGUAUAUAAAAAUUUGACACUCUUUAAUAUUGUGUUUUUUCGUUUAUGUUUAUUAUGAGCUCGACUUUUUGUUUAUGAAAAUUUGACAUUCUGUAACUUUGGCGGGUUGGUAAGUGUAUAAUGAGCUACACUUAUUUAUUUAUUUGGAAAAAAGACACCUAUUUACAUUUGAGAAAAUAGUCAUAAAGACAUCUAAAUUUUUAAAAAGGGACUCCAAAUCUCCUUUUUAACUAUAAUAUCCUUUGAUUUAGUAAUUAAAAAGUUGACUUAAAUUUUUUUUAAUUAAUACAAAUUUAAUAUAAGUAAUAUAAUCUAUCUAGUACACUAAUAAUAUUAAAUUAUUUUUAACGUUUAAUAUAAUAUUAAAAAUUUAAAUUAUUACAUUUAUUUUAAUAAUACAUUUGCAUUUAUUAUAUAGAUUUUAAAAAUCUCUGUAUUAAAUAUAUUUUGCAAUUAACAGAAUAUAUCCCUAUUAAUAAUAUUAAUAUUAUUUUUUACAUAAUAUUUGAAAUAAUUUUAAUCUUUUAUUCUAAUAUUAUGUUUCUAUAUAUUAUUAAAAAUUACUUUAAUUAUAAUAUAAUUGGUCUAAUAUAUUGUAAAAUAUAAAAAUAUUUUAUAAAUAUUAAAAAUAUUUUCAAAUGUUGAUAUUAUUACAUUUAUUUUAAUGGCAUAUUUCUAUUUAUUAUAAAAUCUUAAGGUCAAUUAUUUUGGUUUUAUAAAGUCAAAAGGUAUUAUGAUAAAAAAGGGUUCUUGGUGUCCGUUAUUGAAAACUCGGGGUCCUUGUAAUCAUUUUCCAAAACCGUGGGGGUGUAGGUGUCCUUUUCCCUAUUUAUUUUUAUAAAAAUUAAGGUUUUUUUUUUUUUUUAAAGCAAGAAAUCUAAUGAAUUAAUUCUUCAAAGAGUGUGAGGAUCAAAAACUUACUCUAUGGUUAUUGCUAAAUAUGAAAUAAGAUAAUUGACAUAGUUGUUAUCUAGUAUUAUAUCGAUCCCAAAUUAAUAGGUUCAAACAAAUAUUUUGUUUCAGUUCAAGAAAUUUUACUAAUUAUAUAUGUUAAGAAUUACUAAUUUACAUGUUGUGUUAAGUUUUUGGACAGAGAAAACUAAGGUAGUAUAUGUUCUUUUAUCUAAAAUCUAGAUGGAUUUGAAUGUAAUUGAAGUCUGAAUGAAUCUGAAUGCAUAUGUCAGAAUAACAUGUUUGUUUUUUAUUUUUUGACAUCUAGUGUAACGGUAAAUUGUUAUCUAUUUUUAUAAACUCAAAAUAUUUUAAAUCCAAUAUUUUUAUACUUAUGAUCUUGAAAGUGUUAUAUAUACCUGAAAUUUUUAAUAGGUAUAUAUUUAUAAUGUUUUCUUAACUAAAUAAGUUCAUGCAAUUGAUUGUUAUUAUUAUUGAAUAACUGUUUUUAGGUUGCCUUUAUUAGUUUAACAACAAUGGUACUUCGUCAAGAGAAUGAGUUACCAUUAUUAUUAAUAGGUCGGCGGCGACCAUUUUUUUUUCAUUUUUAGCUCACUGAUAAUUGACAUGGAAUAACGAUGUUUUAGAUAUAUACGAUAUAUUUUAGAUAAUCACACGUAUUUGUAUAUUUUAAAAUACUUAUCAUAAUGUCAAAUAUUUUUAUAUUAUUAUAAAUUGUUGAAAAAUUAUUUUAGAACAAUAUAAAAAUAUCUGUAUACAUGGUAGUCAAACAACAAUUUGAGCAUUGCUAUUAUUUUCCGAAAAUGUAGCUAAGUUUUCUGAAUGAAGAGUGUCCCUUGGAUUCGGUUGGAUUUUAUGCCGCACGACAGAAUUGCUGUGGCCGGAGGGUAAUGUUGUCGCAGUGGGCAAACAAUAAUUGACAUUUCACAUUCGGCUAUUUAUGAUGUAGGCCCAACUAUGUGUGUCCAACUUUGGAGGCUAUUAGGUAUAUGAUAUAUCCAAUUAAUAAGCUCCGCUUAUUUAUUUAUUUUUAUAAAAAUUCAGAUUUUUUUCCCCUAAAAAUAUCCGAUCGAUUCAUUCUUCAAAGAGUGUGCUUACUGCUAAAUAUACAAGAUGAUAGUUGGCAGUUAUUGUCUAGUAAUAUGUAGAUCCCAGAUUGAAUUUGAUUUAAAAUCCAGGAGCAUCGUUCCCGCAAAUGUUUCAUUUUAAAUUUUCUUUGUUUAAUCCAAUGGCAAAUAAAUUUUUCUCGCAUCCGUAUUAAUGGUUCGAACAAAUAAUUUUGUUUUCAGUUCAAGAAAUUUUAUCAAUUUUGUUAAUAAUUAGUACUCACAUAAUUAUUUACUUAUUUUUUUUUAUUUCUUCAAUUCUUAUUGUUUGAAUUAGUUUACAUGAUGAGUAGUGCAAUGUGUCCAUAUAUUAUUUAUGAAUGGUAAUUUAUCACUAAUACAGUGACAUUUCAUCCCGGAGUGGCUGUCCUUGUUGAUAAAUUGAAAUUAGCGCAAACCUUGAGGACAGGCAUGAAAAAAUGAGAACACGAGCAUGAUUGGUGAUGAGAUAUAAUAUAGAUGAACCCCUGCCUUGACUGAUUCAAUACAAAGGGAGGAAAAAAGAAGGAAAACAGGAGCAACCAAUUAAGAAAGAAGCAAAUUUAUAAUCAUGGCUUCUACAGCAGAUCAUGAAGAAGAGACAAAUAAUUUUUCAUAUGCAAUGGAACUGGCAAGUGCCAUAGUGCUACCUGCAGCUAUGCAAGCAGCGGUAGAGCUUGAUGUGUUUGAGAUCAUAAGCAAAGCUGGUCCCGGUGCUAAGCUUUUGGUUUCGGAAAUUGUGGCUCAAAUUCCCUUAAAAGAUAAUAAUCCUGAAGCUGCAGCCAUGACGUUGGAUCGGGUGCUGAGGCUGCUUGUCAGCUACAAUGCUCUUCAUUGCUCUUUUGUUGAUGGACAAAGGCUCUACUCUCUUGCUCCUGUUUCAGCAUACUUUGUUCGCAAUAAUCAAAACGGCGCGUCGUUGCGUCCCUAUAUGGCCUGGUGUCUCGACAAGGUCCUCAUGGAUUGCUGGUAUAUAGAAUUACUUUAUCUCCUUUCUUUCCUUUGCUAAUUUUGAUAAAUUAAGGACAAUUAUCAAAACCUUCUAGUUGUAUAUAUCCAAAAAUUAAUCAUUUGCAUCACAUGUUUUGAACCCAUCAAAAUCCGUCAGCUACUAAAAAGACAGUUAUCUUCAAUUAUUUUACUUUUGUUGUGGUAAAAAACAAAAAAAGUUUAUAGUCCAAGUGUUUUUGAAAUAUGAAAGUAGAAAGGAUUGAUUGUAACAAAUAAUUAAUAAAGUAUUCUUUAUCUUGGUUAAUUAUGCCGUCUAAUUUUACAAACUAAGCUUCUAAAAUUGUUACUAACUGUGUUUGGAUUUUGGAAAAUUCAGGUUUCGGUUGAAAGAGCAAAUUCUUGAAGGAGGAAUUGCGUUUAAUAAAGUGCACGGAAUGCAUAAGUACGAUUACUUGGGCGUUGACUCAAGAUUCAAUGAUGCUUACAACAAUGGAAUGUUAAGCCACACUUCUGUUGUCAUGGAGAAGAUCCUAGAAUCAUACAAAGGCUUUGAGCAUGUUAAGCAGCUUGUUGAUGUUGGCGGCGGCUUAGGAGCUGCUCUUAACAUGAUAAUUUCCAAAUACCCUCAUAUUAAGGGUAUUAAUUAUGAUUUACCAUAUGUUAUUCAAAAUGCCCCAUUUUAUCCUGGUAUGUUACUUACAAAAUUUAUACAAUAUUUUCGUUAAUGAUUCAUUGAUGGGAUACACGAUAGCUAACAAAAAUUAUUAUUAUUAUUUUUAAAUUUCAGGCAUUGAACAUGUAGGUGGAGACUUGUUUGAAAGUGUUCCUGAGGCAGAUACCAUUUUCAUAAAGGUUAUAUGUGUGUAUUAUUUGAAAUCAUCGUUAUAAGGAAAAAUCGAUAUAGGGUGAAUCACUAUUUUCCCCCCUAAUAUUUUGUAGGUUUACUUUGACCCGUUACUCAUUUGGUAUUAGAACUUUGACAAAAACACUUAAGGAAAAGUCAAAAUAUGUUGAAAAGUGUUGGGGGGCAACUGUCUCUCUUUCUUUUUCUCUAGUUGUAAAGGAGUGGCCAAAGCCCAAAUUGAUUAUUUAAAAACCACUGGACUAGCUCCUGAUGCAAAGUGUCAAUCUUUCCGGAUUAUACGUUUUGUUCAAUGCCAUAAAUUGAUCAUAGAUAUUCAUAUUAAUAGAUCUAAUGAGAAUUAACGUAAAUAUUAAACUUUUGCAGUGGGUCCUUAAUGCUUUUGAUGAUGAGCAGUCCUUGAAAUUGUUGAAAAAUUGUUACAAAGCUCUUCCGGAUGGUGGGAAGUUGCUUAAUGUUAAUGGAACAAUUCCAGAAGUGCCUGAGAAUAGCGCGACUUCAAGGGAGAUCUCCCACUUGGAUAUAAUUUGUUUAAUCCAAGUUCCUCAUGGAAGAGAGCGGACCAAACAAGAAUACAGUGACUUAGCAAUCAAAGCUGGAUUUAAAGGCGUCAACUACGAAUAUGGUGCAUGCAAUUUAUAUGUUAUGGAAUUCCUCAAAUAAUAAAUUGCUUUACUUGUAUUAGGAAAGGUCUUCUCAACUCUCUUUGGGGAGUUACCAAUUUCUGGUUUGUGUUAAUUUUUCUUCUCGCCUUAGCUUUUCUCUUAUGUACUCUUUUUCAUCCUUUAAGCAUCUGUCUUUUUAAGGGAGAUUGACUGCCUUAUAAGGUAGCUCCUAUGUAAUAUUUUCCAUUUUAAUUUUUACUGUUGUAGCAUGUGAUACUUAGUUUUUUAUCGAGGAAAAAAAUAGUGUAUUCAUCUGACUUUGUUUUUUUUUUUUUUUUUCCUUUUUCUACUUAUUGCAAAGUUAUGUUGUGCAAAAACCAGCAAUAUAUAAUUAAUAAUUUAAAGUAAUAAAGUUUGAUUUUUGAACGUAGUAAAAUACACCGUAACUGAAUCGAACAAUGCCUGAAAAAUAUAUUGAAAAUGGAUUAUAGAGAUAUAAAUUUCUAUUAUAAUUAUAAUUUAGUUUUUUAUUUUUAAGUUAACUUAGAGAAAAUAUAUUUUAUUUUCAUUAUAAUUGUGAUUUAAUUUUUCUUUUUGAAUUAAUUUAGAGAAGUAGGUUUCCUCUAUUAUAAAUAGAGAGCUCUUGUGGUUGUUUUAAGAACUUUUUUCUAUUAUAAAUAGAGAGUUUUUGUGAUUAUUUUAAGAACUUUUUCCAAACUCAAUUAUUCUAUAAAUUUUUAUUCUAAUUUUUUUUUUCUAUCUUCUUUACAAUUCCUCGUCGGCUAAUAUAGGUCAAAGGGGUUAAAAAAAAGUGCAAGCCUUUUGAAACAAGUCACAGAUGACAGACCCAAUCAGAACUAUAAGUAAAUAUAAUAGUUUGCACUGGCAAUAGGAUUUCCGGCAUUUCGUCUAAGGCACAAUUGACACAACGCUUGAUUGACCAAAACAAAUAGUUGAUUAUUGUAAUUAUUGUGAAUAUAGUCUUUUGUUUUACAACGCGUUAAAUAUGUUUAUAUAUUUUGUAAAAGUCAAGCAAUGAGAUGUAGGGAACGAUUAUUGUUUUCACCAUAUCAAUUAUCUCAAAGAUUAUCUCAAAUAUUUUUCAUGUUCUGUCUGCCGGUACUCUGCCUUCUAGAGGUGCACAGUGAUGGGUGAAAAGAGGAAAAUGAAAAAAAGAUAAGAAAAAAUUUAUAAGGUCCUUUAAUGCGGGGUCGUUUUGGUUCGAUAUGUGUUGAAAAUUUUUUCGGGUGCAAGCUGUCGCUAUCACCGACUUCAAAAACCUUGUCUUGUAAUAUUAAUAUAGGCCCCGAGCCCCCCACCACUUUGCCUCUGUGAUUAAGAACCCCAUUCUUUGUCUUUUAGCAAACCCACCGCCGCUUUAUAAGUCAAUAAUUUUGUUUUUUUUUUUUUUUUUUUUUUGUCAACUCAAUUGAAGGCUUUGCCCACUUGUAGAAAAUCCCAUAAUGGGUUCCACUAGGUUACAGCAGUGGCACAUAUAAUUUCUUUUUGUCUUCUGUGAUAAAAUUUCAUAUAAUCUCUUCUAUUUAUUUUUAUUUAAUAUUUAUCCUAUAAGUAUUAAGUUAAUUUCUACCUACACUUACAGCUACAUUUCGGUUAGCUCUUUAUACUAUUUUAUAUUUACAGAUUUUUUAUUCAAUAUUGCACAUGUAUCACAAUACCCCCUCUUUAUUAUUUUGAAGUUAAAUAAUUAACAUGUUUAAUUUAAAACCUUACACUCCUUUUUAAUUAUAAUCUUUUUAAAUAUCGGGUAUUUUUUACAUUUGCUAUCAAAUUUCAUUUAACACUUUACACUCUUUUUAUUUCGAAUUUUUUUAUAGAUAUUAAUUUACAUUAUGGUAGUGCACUGUGUCCAUAUAUUAUUUAUGAAUGGUAAUUUAUCACUAAUACAGUGACAUUUCAUCCAGGAGUGGCUCUCCUUGUUGAUAAAUUGAAAUUAGCGCAAACCUUGAGGACAGGCAUGAAAAAAUGAGAACACGAGCAUGAUUUGUGAUGAGAUUUAAUAUAGUUGAAUCCAUGCCUCGACUGAUUCAAUAGAAAGGAGGGAAAAAAGAAGGAAAACAGAAGCAAGCAAUUAAGAAAGAAGCAAAUUAUAAUCAUGGCUUCUAUAGCUGAUCAGGAAGAAGAGGCAAAUAAUUUUUCAUAUGCAAUGGAACUGGCAAGUGCCAUAGUGCUACCUGCAGCUAUGCAAGCAGUGGUAGAGCUUGAUGUGUUUGAGAUCAUAACCAAAGCUGGUCCCGGUGCUAAGCUUUCAGUUUCGGAAAUUGUGGCUCAAAUUCCCUUAAAAGAUAAUAAUCCUGAAGCUGCAGCCAUGAUGUUAGAUCGGGUGCUGAGGCUUCUUGUCAGCUACAAUGCUCUUCAUUGCUCUUUUGUUGAUGGACAAAGGCUCUACUCUCUUGCUCCUGUUUCUAAAUACUUUGUUCGCAAUAAUCAAAACGGUGCGUCGUUGCGUCCCUACAUGGCCUUGUCUCUCGACAAGGUCC
RNAcentral lists this long non-coding RNA (7674 nucleotides) under Citrus maxima (pomelo). Its description in RNAcentral is "long non-coding RNA (CMAX_LNC002501)". Lineage: Eukaryota; Viridiplantae; Streptophyta; Magnoliopsida; Sapindales; Rutaceae. The record is from RNAcentral.